Long non-coding RNA from Ochotona princeps (American pika), 169 nucleotides. RefSeq lists it as uncharacterized. The transcript is spliced from 2 exons. Lineage: Eukaryota; Metazoa; Chordata; Mammalia; Lagomorpha; Ochotonidae. The record is from RefSeq and is a predicted model, not a curated record.
AAUGCACAUCUAGGCUAAGAAACAAACUAUACGAAGAGCAUUCAAAGAAGAAAUAAAAGCCAAGAAACCUAGCAGCAGCAGCACAACACAUCAGAAGGCACACUAAAGCGUCCCAGAGAGCUAAUAUUGAGUUAUCAUCUCCAUGAAGAAAGAACAAAACUUAUACAGA